UGAAUUAUAAUAGUAGGGGAUAGGUGGUGGAGAGUAUAGAGGAGGUGGUGGAGAAUUUGGUGGUGGAGGCGGCGGUGAGCGCACACAGUAUGGCGGAGUAGGCGAAGGAGGUGGAGGGGAAGGUGGAGGUGGUGAGAUAGCCGGAGGAGGUGGAGAUGGCGGUGGAGGAGAUGGAGGAGGGGGAGAAGGUGGAGGAGGAGAUGGAGGAGGUGGUGGCGGUGAGUAAAUUGGCGGAGGAGGUGAAGGCGGAGGAGGCGGAGGAGGAGGAGGAGGAGAAGGUGGAGGCGGUGAGGGGGGAGGAGGUGGCGGAGAAUAAACUGGCGGUGGAGGAGGAGGAGAGUAAACAGGUGGUGGUGGGGG
Molecule: long non-coding RNA, 360 nt
Filed under: Coffea arabica (coffee)
Lineage: Eukaryota; Viridiplantae; Streptophyta; Magnoliopsida; Gentianales; Rubiaceae
Description: long non-coding RNA (CARA_LNC004009)
Source: RNAcentral